AUGCACGCUGGCGGCGUGCCUAAUACAUGCAAGUCGCGCGCACAGACGAGGAGCUUGCUCCUCUGACGUUAGCGGCGGACGGGUGAGUAACACGUGGAUAACCUACCUAUAAGACUGGGAUAACUUCGGGAAACCGGAGCUAAUACCGGAUAAUAUAUUGAACUGCAUGGUUCAAUAGUGAAAGACGGUUUUGCUGUCACUUAUAGAUGGAUCCGCGCCGCAUUAGCUAGUUGGUAAGGUAACGGCUUACCAAGGCAACGAUGCGUAGCCGACCUGAGAGGGUGAUCGGCCACACUGGAACUGAGACACGGUCCAGACUCCUACGGGAGGCAGCAGUAGGGAAUCUUCCGCAAUGGGCGAAAGCCUGACGGAGCAACGCCGCGUGAGUGAUGAAGGUCUUCGGAUCGUAAAACUCUGUUAUUAGGGAAGAACAAAUGUGUAAGUAACUAUGCACGUCUUGACGGUACCUAAUCAGAAAGCCACGGCUAACUACGUG
RNAcentral lists this ribosomal RNA (496 nucleotides) under uncultured bacterium. RNAcentral describes it as "partial 16S ribosomal RNA". It matches the Rfam family "Bacterial small subunit ribosomal RNA", at positions 29 to 507 of the family's 1533-position model. The record is from RNAcentral.